CUUUAAAUUAGAUAUCCAGGCAGCCUCUCGUUUUAACAAUAAAUUGUUGAGGUCACCCCCUCUCCUAGGGAGGGUGACAUGUUCGAUGCCGAUAUAACGUAGGGACGAAAUCGAGUUGUUCGCUUCCAAAAAGUGUGCCGCAACUGGUGGAAGAAGUGGAUGGAAGAUUCUCAGGACACAGUACACCUAGGCCAGGAAGGAGGCACCCUCAGGUAGUGCUGGUGGAAGGGCUAUAGGAAGACACAUCUCCAUCCUUCAGCACUUUCUGGAGCCCCAUACUGCAUAAUGGAUGAGGCCCAUCCAGCAACAGGCGGUACAGCCUGCAUUUCCCCCCUCAUAUGAAGCCAAACACCAGUCAGCAAAACCACAAUAACUCGUGGGUUGGGAUGGCUCCUUGUACAAGCACCCGAAGGCACAAUGACGAGGAGGAAGAUUAGUUUGGGAAGGUAGAGGACCAUGACUCUCUCAGCACCAUUUAGAAGGCCCUGGAUAAAUUCUGCCAUGCUGAUGAGGAUGGUUCCUUUUGGCUGAUCCCUGGAGUGAAGAACACAAAGCCUUUUACCAACAGCUGGUGGAUGAGAUUGGGGCACACUGCCAGAUGAUGCACCAACAACAGUAGCUAGUGAACCAGCAGCUGCCCCUAUCUCCAUGUAAUGAAAUCACCAUCAAUAUUGCACAGACCAUUUUGUUUUCUUCAUCUUAUUGCAUGUUUAUAUACACGUUCCCUUUGUUUCAUUACAAGGGGUUAUGCUUUUUUUUCAUUAUUUGGGGUUAUUCUUAACUUUUUUAGUUGUACAAUGUAACUGAUUCAGUUUUGCACAAUUAAAAGUGACUGAAUACCACUCAAUGUGUCUGAAAUGAUCAUACAAUAAAGGAAGCUCAGACUUUCCUCAUGGGUUAAAUUGAGCUUAAG
Oncorhynchus tshawytscha (Chinook salmon) is the source of this 913-nucleotide long non-coding RNA. NCBI's taxonomy places the organism in Eukaryota, Metazoa, Chordata, Actinopteri, Salmoniformes, Salmonidae. The record is from Ensembl.